UACGUAGGUGGCAAGCGUUGUCCGGAUUUACUGGGCGUAAAGAGCGCGCAGGCGGUCGUUCAAGUCGAGUGUGAAAGCCCCCGGCUCAACUGGGGAGGGUCAUUCGAUACUGAUCGACUCGAAGGCAGGAGAGGGAAGCGGAAUUCCCGGUGUAGUGGUGAAAUGCGUAGAUAUCGGGAGGAACACCCGUGGCGAAGGCGGCUCUCUGGGACGGUACUGACGCUGAGACGCGAAAGCGUGGGGAGCGAACAGG
This 253-nucleotide ribosomal RNA is filed under the name uncultured bacterium. RNAcentral describes it as "partial 16S ribosomal RNA". It matches the Rfam family "Bacterial small subunit ribosomal RNA", at positions 524 to 776 of the family's 1533-position model. The record is from RNAcentral.